RNAcentral lists this ribosomal RNA (253 nucleotides) under uncultured bacterium. RNAcentral's name for it is "partial 16S ribosomal RNA". It matches the Rfam family "Bacterial small subunit ribosomal RNA", at positions 524 to 776 of the family's 1533-position model. The record is from RNAcentral.
UACGUAGGAUGCGAGCGUUGUCCGGAAUUAUUGGGCGUAAAGAGAACGUAGGCGGUUUGUUAAGUUUGGGCUUAAAGACUGGGGCUCAACCCCAGGAGUGGCUCGAAAACUGACAGACUAGAGGAUGGCAGAGGAAAGUGGAAUUCCCAGUGUAGCGGUGAAAUGCGUAGAUAUUGGGAGGAACACCAGUGGCGAAAGCGACUUUCUGGGCCAUUCCUGACGCUGAGGUUCGAAAGCGUGGGGAGCAAACAGG